ACAUCAGUGGAGGAUCACCUUCAUAUACAUGCUUCAGAGGAAAGCCACAAUGAAAAGACACAGCAAACCUCCAAGAAGGCCCUUGGGCAUGCCUACAUCAGUCAUUCCUGGCUCCUGAGUGACAAAUCCCACAUGACAUUUUAUGGAGGUGCCUUCCCCAAUAGGAAGGCUGAUCUCAGUGGCGCCAAAGGCUUUGAAAUUACCUCCCAUUUCAGAAGAACCACCCAGAGUCCCCAACCCCCUGAGGAGGCAAUUUAAAGCUAAUGAACCCCCAACAGAGCUCUUCAUCAUCCCAAUGGAGAUUCAUUUCCACACCAAACACCCCCCAAAAGAAAAAGCCUGCAAAAGAGGUGCUCCAUGCCCUGAGUCAGAACCAGAAACAGAAGAGGCCAGGCCUUUAUGGAGGCCUCCCCUGAAGCAUGCGUCAUUACAAAGGCCAAUGGCCAUAACUGUGCAUCUCCCAGUGGACACAGGCAGGGACACGCCCUCUCCAUCAGAUGACAGUGUUCUGUCCCUGAAUGUGAAACCACCACUGGACCUUCCACCCCUGAUUAGAGAAAGGAAACGGCGGGAGAGCCAGGGGGACCGGGAUAGCCUCCACACAUCAAGCCGCAGCAGCCCCACAGGCACUCCAAAUGUGAGGACACUGGCAACAGGACAAGGUACUCAUUCCUGGGGCGCGUGGAUCCCCCUCCCUG
This 698-nucleotide long non-coding RNA is filed under the name Ictidomys tridecemlineatus (thirteen-lined ground squirrel). Its description in RNAcentral is "lncRNA (ENSSTOG00000034923.1)". Lineage: Eukaryota; Metazoa; Chordata; Mammalia; Rodentia; Sciuridae. The record is from RNAcentral.